AUUGAACGCUGGCGGCAGGCCUAACACAUGCAAGUCGAGCGGAUGAAGGGAGCUUGCUCCUGGAUUCAGCGGCGGACGGGUGAGUAAUGCCUGGGAAUCUGCCUGGUAGUGGGGGAUAACGUCCGGAAACGGGCGCUAAUACCGCAUCCGUCCUGAGGGAGAAAGUGGGGGAUCUUCGGACCUCACGCUAUCAGAUGAGCCUAGGUCGGAUUAGCUAGUUGGUGGGGUAAAGGCCUACCAAGGCGACGAUCCGUAACUGAUCUGAGAGGAUGAUCAGUCACACUGGAACUGAGACACGGUCCAGACUCCUACGGGAGGCAGCAGUGGGGAAUAUUGGACAAUGGGCGAAAGCCUGAUCCAGCCAUGCCGCGUGUGUGAAGAAGGUCUUCGGAUUGUAAAGCACUUUAAGUUGGGAGGAAGGGCAGUAAGUUAAUACCUUGCUGUUUUGACGUUACCAACAGAAUAAGCACCGGCUAACUUCGUG
Molecule: ribosomal RNA, 484 nt
Filed under: uncultured bacterium
Lineage: Bacteria
Description: partial 16S ribosomal RNA
Rfam family: Bacterial small subunit ribosomal RNA
Source: RNAcentral